GAUAAACGCUGGCGGCGUGCCUAACACAUGCAAGUCGAACGAUCCCGCAAGGGAGAGUGGCGGAAGGGUGAGUAACACGUGGGAAUCUACCUCCUCGCAGGGAACAACCUCUCGAAAGAGAGGCUAAUACCCAAAGGGUCAGAAAUGAUCAGAGUCGAAAGGCGUGAGGAGAGGAGCCCGCGGCCCAUCAGCUAGUUGGUGAGGUAAUGGCUUACCAAGGCUACGACGGGUAGGGGAUCUGAGAGGAUGUCCCCCACACUGGAACUGAAACACGGUCCAGACGCCUACGGGUGGCAGCAGUGAGGAAUAUUGGACAAUGGGCGAAAGCCCGAUCCAGCAACGCCGCGUGGAGGAUGAAGGCCUUCGGGUCGUAAACUUCUUUAGAGGGAGACGAGAAAGGACGGUAUCCCUAGAAUAAGCGACGGCAAACUACGUGCCAG
RNAcentral lists this ribosomal RNA (440 nucleotides) under uncultured bacterium. RNAcentral describes it as "bacterial SSU rRNA". It matches the Rfam family "Bacterial small subunit ribosomal RNA", at positions 28 to 511 of the family's 1533-position model. The record is from RNAcentral.